Molecule: non-coding RNA, 254 nt
Filed under: [Clostridium] ultunense Esp
Lineage: Bacteria; Bacillati; Bacillota; Tissierellia; Tissierellales; Tepidimicrobiaceae
Source: RNAcentral
AAGAAAACGAUGAACAGGACAUGAGGAUGGAACAGGAUUCAUGAGAGAGUAAGGGUCACAGGCUGAGAGCCCUUAUUGAAUCUUUCCUUUCUUACCCCCUGGGAGUUGCAGGAAUGAACCGAUCGUAGUUCCUGCCGGUUAAACCGUUAUCUCGUAUGAGGGCAGAAGGAGAGCUCUUAAAGAGAGACUCUAUUUUCUAUUUUUCCUUUUGCCGAAGUUGGGUGGAACCACGGGUAGAAUCGCUCGUCCCUUUU